UGCUCUGGUUUUUUAAAGGAUGACUUUCAUUUCUCAGUUCUUUCUACAGAGGGAAACGGAUGAGGAGGACAGUGACGUGUAAUGGCAACAUUAUUCUUCGGAAAACAGAAAUUACCAAGGUUCCCUGAGGAUGUCAGACUUGCAGUGAAAAGAGAUCCGGAAUGAAGCAGAUUGAAGAUAUGAUGAAAACCCAAAUCUCUGUCCUGUGGGCUAACGCAAC
Molecule: long non-coding RNA, 220 nt
Filed under: Fukomys damarensis (Damara mole-rat)
Lineage: Eukaryota; Metazoa; Chordata; Mammalia; Rodentia; Bathyergidae
Description: lncRNA (ENSFDAG00000022221.1)
Source: RNAcentral